AACGUAGGUGGCAAACGUUAUCCGGAUUCACUGGGCGUAAAGAGUGCGUAGGCGGCUCCACAAGUCGGAUGUAAAAUCUCCUGGCUCAACUGGGAGGGACCAUCCGAUACUGCGGGGCUAGAGUGCAGCAGAGGAGAGUGGAAUUCCCGGUGUAGUGGUGGAAUGCGUAGAUAUCGGGAGGAACACCAGUGGCGAAAGCGGCUCUCUGGGCUGUAACUGACGCUGUUGCACGAAAGCGUGGGGAG
Molecule: ribosomal RNA, 245 nt
Filed under: uncultured bacterium
Lineage: Bacteria
Description: partial 16S ribosomal RNA
Rfam family: Bacterial small subunit ribosomal RNA
Source: RNAcentral